Molecule: ribosomal RNA, 401 nt
Filed under: uncultured bacterium
Lineage: Bacteria
Description: bacterial SSU rRNA
Rfam family: Bacterial small subunit ribosomal RNA
Source: RNAcentral
UGGGGAAUAUUGGACAAUGGGGGCAACCCUGAUCCAGCCAUGCCGCGUGAGUGAAGAAGGCCUUCGGGUUGUAAAGCUCUUUCGGCGGGGACGAUGAUGACGGUACCCGCAUAAGAAGCCCCGGCAAACUUCGUGCCAGCAGCCGCGGUAAUACGAAGGGGGCUAGCGUUGUUCGGAAUUACUGGGCGUAAAGCGCGCGUAGGCGGUGAUCUAUGUCAGGGGUGAAAUCCCGGGGCUCAACUCCGGAAUUGCCUUUGAAACAGGAUCGCUAGAGUCCGAGAGAGGAUGGCGGAAUUCCUAGUGUAGAGGUGAAAUUCGUAGAUAUUAGGAAGAACACCGGUGGCGAAGGCGGCCAUCUGGCUCGGUACUGACGCUCAGGCGCGAAAGCGUGGGGAGCAAAC